Molecule: ribosomal RNA, 1006 nt
Filed under: Salmonella enterica subsp. enterica serovar Newport
Lineage: Bacteria; Pseudomonadati; Pseudomonadota; Gammaproteobacteria; Enterobacterales; Enterobacteriaceae
Description: partial 23S ribosomal RNA
Rfam family: Bacterial large subunit ribosomal RNA
Source: RNAcentral
AGACCCGAAACCCGGUGAUCUAGCCAUGGGCAGGUUGAAGGUUGGGUAACACUAACUGGAGGACCGAACCGACUAAUGUUGAAAAAUUAGCGGAUGACCUGUGGCUGGGGGUGAAAGGCCAAUCAAACCGGGAGAUAGCUGGUUCUCCCCGAAAGCUAUUUAGGUAGCGCCUCGUGAAUUCAUCUCCGGGGGUAGAGCACUGUUUCGGCUAGGGGGCCAUCCCGGCUUACCAACCCGAUGCAAACUGCGAAUACCGGAGAAUGUUAUCACGGGAGACACACGGCGGGUGCUAACGUCCGUCGUGAAGAGGGAAACAACCCAGACCGCCAGCUAAGGUCCCAAAGUCAUGGUUAAGUGGGAAACGAUGUGGGAAGGCCCAGACAGCCAGGAUGUUGGCUUAGAAGCAGCCAUCAUUUAAAGAAAGCGUAAUAGCUCACUGGUCGAGUCGGCCUGCGCGGAAGAUGUAACGGGGCUAAACCAUGCACCGAAGCUGCGGCAGCGAACGUAUCACUUAAAGCGAUUCAGCGGGUUACGAUUGACGGAGCGAAGCGACGUCAAAGCGUAUACAAAGUCGAGUCGGUUUAAGGAUACGUUCGUUGGGUAGGGGAGCGUUCUGUAAGCCUGUGAAGGUGGCCUGUGAGGGUUGCUGGAGGUAUCAGAAGUGCGAAUGCUGACAUAAGUAACGAUAAAGCGGGUGAAAAGCCCGCUCGCCGGAAGACCAAGGGUUCCUGUCCAACGUUAAUCGGGGCAGGGUGAGUCGACCCCUAAGGCGAGGCCGAAAGGCGUAGUCGAUGGGAAACAGGUUAAUAUUCCUGUACUUGGUGUUACUGCGAAGGGGGGACGGAGAAGGCUAUGUUGGCCGGGCGACGGUUGUCCCGGUUUAAGCGUGUAGGCUGGUUUUCCAGGCAAAUCCGGAAAAUCAAGGCUGAGGCGUGAUGACGAGGCACUACGGUGCUGAAGCAACAAAUGCCCUGCUUCCAGGAAAAGCCUCUAAGCAUCAGGUAAC